GGGCGGGUAAGGUUUUCCCCCGAAGCCUAGCUUGGAUAGGGCGCAAGCCUCCUAAGCUUGUGGUCGUGGGUUCAAAUCCCACCCCGCCCG
RNAcentral lists this transfer RNA (90 nucleotides) under Thermococcus sp. RNAcentral's name for it is "tRNA-Arg". The stretch from base 22 to 83 matches the Rfam family "tRNA", at positions 7 to 64 of the family's 71-position model. Rfam says of the family: Transfer RNA (tRNA) molecules are approximately 80 nucleotides in length. Lineage: Archaea; Methanobacteriati; Methanobacteriota; Thermococci; Thermococcales; Thermococcaceae. The record is from RNAcentral.